This 71-nucleotide transfer RNA is filed under the name Grammatobothus polyophthalmus (threespot flounder). Its description in RNAcentral is "tRNA-Pro". It matches the Rfam family "tRNA". From Rfam's summary of the family: Transfer RNA (tRNA) molecules are approximately 80 nucleotides in length. The record is from RNAcentral. Lineage: Eukaryota; Metazoa; Chordata; Actinopteri; Pleuronectiformes; Bothidae.
CAGUGAGUAGUUUAAGGUUAGAAUCCUGGCUUUGGGAGCCAGGGGUGGGAGUUAGAUUCUCUCCUCUUUGA